AUGGAGCUAGAGGAACAAUAUCAUAGGUCCUCGCAGUGGCCGUGGAAACCGCUGAGAGAGGGGCUCCAGGUCCUAAGCCACCCCGGCUGCAGGCAGCCGCAUUAUGUCCUCGUCAUAAUCUCCAGCCACCGCUGCCUCAGUACCUCUGCUAUUUCAUUUGCAGAAGCCCAGGUCCAAGUACCUCCUGUUGUUCCUGCAACUCCUUCACCCACAGCAGUACCUGAGGUGGCUUCUGGAAGAACUACAGAUAUAAUCCACGCUGUUGCAGAACAGAGCUUCGCUGAACUGGGACUAGGGUCAUACACCCCAGUGGGAUUGACCCAGAACCUCCUGGAAUUUAUGCAUGUUAACCUGGGCCUUCCUUGGUGGGGGGCCAUUGCAGCAUGUACAGUCCUUGCCCGCUGCCUCGUUUUUCCUCUCAUCGUGAAGGGCCAGCGAGAGGCAGCCAAGAUUCACAACCACUUGCCAGAGAUCCAGAAGUUUUCCACUAGAAUCAGAGAGGCCAAGUUGGCAGGAGACAAUGCUGAGUUUUACAGGGCCUCCAAGGAGAUGACACUUUACCAGAAAAAGCAAGAUAUUAAAUUCUUUAAACCCCUCAUUCUGCCUCUGACUCAGGCACUAGUCUUCAUCUCUUUCUUCAUUGCCUUGAGAGACAUGGCCAACCUUCCUGUGCUCAGUAUGCAGACAGGUGGCCUCUGGUGGUUCCAGGAUCUCACUGUAUCUGAUCCCAUCUACAUGUUAUGGAUAGUAGUCACUGCUACAAUGUGGGGUGUCCUAGAGCUAGGUGCUGACACAGGUGUGCAAAGUUCUGACCUUCAGUGGAUGAGACAUGUUAUCAGAGUGAGCCCCUGGCAGUCUUGCCCAUGCCAUCCACUUCCCCUCGGCAGUGUUCAUGUACUGGCUCUCCUCCAAUAUGUUUUCCCUGGGCCAAGUAGCCUGCCUCCGGCUACUGUACGCACUGUACUUAAAAUACCCCAGCAUGUUGUGCAUGACCCUGACAAAUUACCUCCCCGGGAAGGCUUCAUAAAGAGCUUCAAACAAGGCUAGAAGAAUGCUGAAAUUGCACAUCAGCUCCAUAAGCGUGAACGACGCAUGCAGAACCACUUGGAGCUAGCAGCCAGGGGUCCCUUACAGCAGACCUUUACCCACAACCCUCUACUACAACAUGAAAAGAAUCACCCUCCCAAAACCCCCAGCAGCAGCAACACCAACAACAGCAACAAACCAAAGUCAAAGCAGCCCUGGCGUGACACACUUGGCUGA
Marmota flaviventris (yellow-bellied marmot) is the source of this 1263-nucleotide non-coding RNA. Lineage: Eukaryota; Metazoa; Chordata; Mammalia; Rodentia; Sciuridae. The record is from RefSeq and is a predicted model, not a curated record.